This 1240-nucleotide long non-coding RNA is filed under the name Monodelphis domestica (gray short-tailed opossum). Its description in RNAcentral is "lncRNA (ENSMODG00000030907.2)". Lineage: Eukaryota; Metazoa; Chordata; Mammalia; Didelphimorphia; Didelphidae. The record is from RNAcentral.
GACCAAGCUCUAGGCACUGCACAGCACCUGUUUCAGCUGCCUUCAUGGUCAUUGGAAUGAAUUUUUCUCACCUGCCUAAUUCUCCAGAGAUGUCUUCACUUGCUUGGGGUAGACAUCCCCUAACUCACCAAUGGAGCUGAGACCUGUUGGUUAUCCUCAACCUGUUAAGAUGGUUUUACUGGGGUAUGGCCACUCUGCAUGUGGCUUCUUUGAGCCAGCAAUGAGAACUGGGUAAAAGGUAGACAUCGAAGGUGGAUGGAUGGGCAGCCCUGAAAGGGGUUCACACCGAAGAGCUAGUCCUCCCAGAACACUCCCAAAAUGAGUGUUCAGCUUCAAGGCCAAAACAUAGAAUGGACCGAGAGGAAACAUGAAGGAGUCUCUGAAGUCCACUUUCUGGUGUUAGUAAACUACAUUUCAAUCAACCACCUCUGAGGUGCUCCAGAAUUCCUCAAUUUGCUGAACCACUGAAAACCAAACCUGGCCACCAGUUGAACUGUCAACAUUGAUCUCAACCCUCUGACUCCUGAAGACUCCUGAACUUCACCAGAUCUUCAAAAAUGGGCCCCAGAACAUCAGUCGUUGCCGAAGUUGAUGCCGUGCAGCAUAAGCCAAUUAGAGGAGAUGAAGCCACACAGAUCGGAGCUUUGGAAAUAAACAUCUGCUUGCAGCUGGGGAAAUGACUGCUAGGAACUGGUGUUUUUAUGCUUGUUUCCACAACUGAUCAGAACUCCAUAUAAUUUACUGCCUGUGACAACCGCAAGGUUCAUGUUAUUUGGCCCUGCCCUGUGUCUGAUCCCCAAUCCAGCUGCACUAGUUACAUCUGGUGCUUCUUGACAUUGACUGGCCCAAAUAACCAGAAAGUACUUCCUGGAUGGGGUGAGAUUCUGGCAAAUGAGGACUAGGGGGUGAAGGGGAGCUGUGAAAGGAUCGGGGUGAUGACUCACUGCUAGGCACAGGAAAUGGGUUUCAUAGACUGCUAGACAUUUGGGCUUGGAAAGAACCUUAGAGAACAUAUAGACCAACCUACUUCGUUCCAUUUUUACAGUUGAGGAAACUGAGGCCCAGGUAGGGAGAGAAUUUGUCCAAGUUUAUAUUAAACCUAGUUAGAACUUGUUCAAGGUUAUUUUAAAACUAGUUAGUAUCAGAACUGGAACUCAGUCUUUGGUUUUCUUGAUUAAUAAUGCAACGUCAACUCCCCAUUUGAAAAGCAAGGAAAUAAAAAGAUGGAGAGGAGAUCCCA